GUCUAUGGCCAUAUACCCUGAAUGCAUGGGAUCUCGUAUGAUCUCAGAAGCUAAGCAGGGUUGGGCCUGCUUAGUACUUGGAUGGGAGAUUACCUGGUAUGGUAAGCU
Molecule: ribosomal RNA, 108 nt
Filed under: Pteropus alecto (black flying fox)
Lineage: Eukaryota; Metazoa; Chordata; Mammalia; Chiroptera; Pteropodidae
Also listed under: 1 other name
Source: RNAcentral